Molecule: long non-coding RNA, 929 nt
Organism: Mobula hypostoma (lesser devil ray)
Lineage: Eukaryota; Metazoa; Chordata; Chondrichthyes; Myliobatiformes; Myliobatidae
Exons: 3
Source: RefSeq, a predicted model, not a curated record
AGAUUAAAGCUGAUCUCACAGACGAGGGACAAGAAACUUUCCUUCUGUACAUCUACAGUGGAGCGUAUCCUGACCGGUUGCACCACAGCCUGCUUUAACGUGCAUUCCUCUGUCCGGUUUUAAGAGCUGAUGAGCUUCUGUGAUUGGUGCACAGCAGAGCAAAGGCACCUAGCUAAACCAGGAAAUAUUGAUCCAAAAUUAAAGACUGGCCAGAACACCAGCAAACCUACCUUGUUGUUCCUCAAAAUUAUGCCAAGGGAUUACCUGGAUCUACAAGUCCAUCCAAGAGAACUGACAAAACCGUGGUUUAACAUCCCCUCUUGUAAGUAGUGCCUUGGACAGGAUCAUCCACCCCCAGUUCUACAUUCCACUACCAGCGCAGAAUUUGUAUUCAAGAUUCUUACUUGGGCAAAGAAAUGGUAAAUGAAAUCCGUCAAGCCUUUUGUGUGGAUGAUCAUGUAAUCAAAUAAACUUUCCUGCAAUCUGGAUCAUGCGUACGUACAAAUAAUUUUCACUCCUGAGUAAAUUAGUUCAAGUACCUAGUGUGCAGUAUGAAUAAAUAUCUUCACUUAGCUGUUCCCUGGAUCAGUUCCCCAACACCAUAAAGCCUAAUGAAUGUUCAAUGUCUAACUGUAAAAAGCAUUGAUAGUCUGGCACAUGCUGUUAGAGUGAUUUUUGGGUUUAGGUCAUUUACAUUUAGCAAAUGGCUUUGGCAACCAGUCUUCUGUCUUUGAACAUGUAUUGUGGAUUUUAUUCCUAAAAGCUGUGAAUCUCAGACCAAUCAAUGCUGAUUAAAAUUCAUUUGGAUGGCUCUGGUGUGUGUGUGAAGAGGGAGGUGUGAAGUUCAUAUGUGAUUUCAAAGAAAGCAUUGUCUAUACUUUGUAAAUAUGGAAUUGUCCUUUGAUUUGUCGGCACAUAAAAUAUCGAGC